CGGAAAAGAAACCCAAAUUAAAACGAAGAAGUUAAAAUAUCUUGAGAUAGAGAGAAGGGUAAUAAAACGGAGGCGGGUCGAGAUCCGGCGGAAGGCACAUCGUCGGGUUUCGCCCAUUGCAUUCUCACAGAUCUACGCUUCUUGCUUCUAACUUGUGUCGUCUGACGUUGUCUAGAUGAAAGGCUCUUGCACUCUCGUCGCGUCGGUUGUUGCCGCUUCCACCGCGGCCGCGCUUUCCUCAUUCGCCACCGGUGGCCGUGAUGUAACAUUCAACCCUGCCUCCCAUCAGAGUGCAUCGAUAAAUUCGCUUGUGGCGUCAUCAGAGAAGAAUAAAUUUGCGCCGAGGUUCGAUGGGUUGAGGUUCAUCGAGACACUAGUGACGGCCCACAGGUGACCGUAUCUAAUUUUGAGGUGGAAAUGGUUUGGGUUGUAAGACUGGAAGGAUUCUUAAUUUGCAUUACAAGGCAAUUGCAAUCUUGCAUUUGUUUGUUUGUGCAAUGUUAUUGUUUUUAAUUGGUUUCGUUGGCUUGGAUACUAUGAAAUGGUUGAGGUCAUAGUUCUUAUUUUUUCUAUAAAAUAAAAUAUGAAAACAGUAUUA
Molecule: long non-coding RNA, 598 nt
Organism: Olea europaea var. sylvestris
Lineage: Eukaryota; Viridiplantae; Streptophyta; Magnoliopsida; Lamiales; Oleaceae
Exons: 2
Source: RefSeq, a predicted model, not a curated record